GACGAACGCUGGCGGCGUGCCUAAUGCAUGCAAGUAGAACGCACAGUUUAUACCGUAGCUUGCUACACCAUAGACUGUGAGUUGCGAACGGGUGAGUAACGCGUAGGUAACCUGCCUGGUAGCGGGGGAUAACUAUUGGAAACGAUAGCUAAUACCGCAUAAUAUUAAUUAUUGCAUGAUAAUUGAUUGAAAGAUGCAACUGCAUCACUACCAGAUGGACCUGCGUUGUAUUAGCUAGUAGGUGAGGUAACGGCUCACCUAGGCGACGAUACAUAGCCGACCUGAGAGGGUGAUCGGCCACACUGGGACUGAGACACGGCCCAGACUCCUACGGGAGGCAGCAGGAGGGAAUCUUCGGCAAUGGACGAAAGUCUGACCGAGCAACGCCGCGGGAGGGAAGAAGGUUUUCGGAUCGUAAAGCUCUGUUGUAAGAGAAGAACGGGUGUGAGAGUGGAAAGUUCACACUGUGACGGUAUCUUACCAGAAAGGGACGGCUAACUACGUG
RNAcentral lists this ribosomal RNA (505 nucleotides) under uncultured bacterium. RNAcentral describes it as "partial 16S ribosomal RNA". It matches the Rfam family "Bacterial small subunit ribosomal RNA", at positions 28 to 507 of the family's 1533-position model. The record is from RNAcentral.